UUUAACUGAAGAGUUUGAUCAUGGCUCAGAUUGAACGCUGGCGGCAGGCUUAACACAUGCAAGUCGAGCGGAGAGAGGUAGCUUGCUACUGAUCUUAGCGGCGGACGGGUGAGUAAUGCUUAGGAAUCUGCCUAUUAG
Molecule: ribosomal RNA, 138 nt
Filed under: Acinetobacter pittii
Lineage: Bacteria; Pseudomonadati; Pseudomonadota; Gammaproteobacteria; Moraxellales; Moraxellaceae
Description: partial 16S ribosomal RNA
Rfam family: Bacterial small subunit ribosomal RNA
Source: RNAcentral